Molecule: non-coding RNA, 1093 nt
Organism: Microcebus murinus (gray mouse lemur)
Lineage: Eukaryota; Metazoa; Chordata; Mammalia; Primates; Cheirogaleidae
Source: RefSeq, a predicted model, not a curated record
GUGAUGGCAGGUCUUCCUCACCGAAAUCAGCUUGUUCUCCCUCCUAUCUUGCCCCAGUUUUCUUGGCCAAGCCCAUUCCUGGGCCUUUUUCAGGUCCUUUUAAAGCUGGGGUAAAGAAUUGGGCCCUGCUGUAGUUGUCAGGGAAAUGGGGGCAACAGUUUUCAUGCCUCAGCUUUAUGCUCACACACUGUGAUCUUUUUCUUCUGCUCCCCUGUAGCCCUCUUUCUCCCCUUAGGCCCACCAUGGAUAGAAGCAGGGAAAUUGCUAGAAGAGUCUGGUCUGGAGUACAGGAUACAGAGGAGCUGGGCCAAGAUCAAGUUGAGAUUGAGGAGGCAGGAAUAACUUGUUGGAAAUUGCUUCAGGAGGGCAAGGACCUUAUCAGUUUUGCUUCCCAGCACCUUAUACUCAGUAAAUACCUGUUGCACGACUGAACCUUAAGUAACAAGAACAUAAACUGUGUUGUCCACAUUAGAUGUAGAAUAAAAGAUGACCCCCUAGGAAGACAAAGCCAGGGACCAGGCCCACCUCUGGAGAGCAGAGUGCAGGCUGGAUUUCAGCUCCAUCCUCCCCGCCCUGUGUGCCCUUGCCCCUCUCUCCAACAGGAGUCUGUUUCCUCACUCCUUGAAUCUGACUGGCCUUGUGACUUGCUUUGAUCAAUAGAAUGCAGUGGAACUGACGCUGUGUCAGUUCCAAGGCUAGGCCUUAAGAGACCUUGUGUGAUGCUGCCUGCUCUCUUGGAACCCAGCCAACCAGCUUUGAGAAUCAGCUACCCUGCUGGAGGAUGGGAGACCACAUGAAACAGAGGUAACUGUGUCAGCUGAGGGCCAUUUAAGACCAGCCAGAUAACAGCCAACCAGCAGCUGGCCUCAUGUGUAUGAGUGAGACUAGCCAAGACCAGAACUGCCCAGCUGAGCCUAACCCAAAUUGCUGCCCUGUGGAAUUAUAAGAUAAAUAAAUAAUUUUUGUUUUAAGCCACUAAGGAUUGGCAUGAUUUGUUUUGCAGCAAACUAUAACUGAUACACGCCCGGGCGUGGUGGCUCAUGCCUGUAAUCCUAGCACUCUGGGAGGCCGAGGCGGGCAGAUUGCUCGAGGU